This 570-nucleotide ribosomal RNA is filed under the name uncultured Gammaproteobacteria bacterium. RNAcentral describes it as "bacterial SSU rRNA". It matches the Rfam family "Bacterial small subunit ribosomal RNA", at positions 33 to 598 of the family's 1533-position model. Lineage: Bacteria; Pseudomonadati; Pseudomonadota; Gammaproteobacteria. The record is from RNAcentral.
ACGCUGGCGGCAGGCCUAACACAUGCAAGUCGAGCGGAUGAGAGGAGCUUGCUCCUUGAUUUAGCGGCGGACGGGUGAGUAAUGCCUAGGAAUCUGCCUGGUAGUGGGGGAUAACGUUCCGAAAGGAACGCUAAUACCGCAUACGUCCUACGGGAGAAAGCAGGGGACCUUCGGGCCUUGCGCUAUCAGAUGAGCCUAGGUCGGAUUAGCUAGUUGGUGAGGUAAUGGCUCACCAAGGCGACGAUCCGUAACUGGUCUGAGAGGAUGAUCAGUCACACUGGAACUGAGACACGGUCCAGACUCCUACGGGAGGCAGCAGUGGGGAAUAUUGGACAAUGGGCGAAAGCCUGAUCCAGCCAUGCCGCGUGUGUGAAGAAGGUCUUCGGAUUGUAAAGCACUUUAAGUUGGGAGGAAGGGCAUUAACCUAAUACGUUAGUGUUUUGACGUUACCGACAGAAUAAGCACCGGCUAACUUCGUGCCAGCAGCCGCGGUAAUACGAAGGGUGCAAGCGUUAAUCGGAAUUACUGGGCGUAAAGCGCGCGUAGGUGGUUCGUUAAGUUGGAUGUGAA